Molecule: long non-coding RNA, 1618 nt
Organism: Struthio camelus australis
Lineage: Eukaryota; Metazoa; Chordata; Aves; Struthioniformes; Struthionidae
Source: Ensembl
AUGGUGGCAGGCUACGGCGGUGAUGACGAGGCCGUUGGCCAGGAGGGCAGCCAGGUAGGUGCCCAGGAAGAGCGAGAAGUGCAAGAGCUGCAGCUCCCGCAUGUCCGCCAACGGCAGGAGGAGGAACCCCUUGAAGGAGCUGCUGUUGGACACUUUGCUCUCUCCGGACACGGAGGACUGUCCAAGGAAGAAGACGCUGACAACUCAGGACAGACAGCAAAACUUUCCCAUGACUUCCCCGCAGCUGAAGAGACGGACGUGGUUCAAGACCCAGCUUCUGGGUCCUCUGGGAGGUCCACCUCCAUGGGCUCCUCCCCUUCCUCUGGGGGAGUCCAUUUCCAUGGGCUCCUAUUCCUCCAAGAGGUCCACCUGCAUGGCCACCUUCUCCCUCUCCUCUGGAGGAGUUCCUUUCCAUGGGCUCCUCUUCCUCUGGGAGGUCCACCUCCAUGGGCUCCUCCUCCUCGUCCUCCAUGGGGGUCCAUUUCCAUCGGCUCCUCCUCAGGGGGAGGUCCACUUCCAUGGCCGCCUCUUCCUCCUCUUCUGCAGGGGUGCACCUCCAUAGGCUCCUCCUCCUCCUCUUCUGCAGGGGUCCACCUCCACGGGCUCCUCUUCCUCUAGGAGGUCCACCUCCAUGGGCUCCAGGGUGGCCAGGUGGUUGCAUCCACCUUCCUCUUGGUGCACAGCGCCGCCUUUCACCUCUUCCACGGCCGCUGGCUCAGGGCUGGAGCCCCCGUGGAGGGCAGGAGCGGAGAGCUCGAUCUCAGGCCCUCUCCCACCGCCAGGCCUGGCACCAACUCUGGAACAGGGGCGCUGAGGUCACUGCUGACACGGCGGCGUGCAACUCCUCCCACCUGUCAGGUCGUUAUCAGACGUUAAUUGGUACAGGUCCCAGGAUUACCCCCGGGGUGCCCUGUCUGGGAGGAGCCUGAUGGGGCUGCUCCGCAACGGAGGAAGACUAAGAAGAAGGUGACCCCAAUGCAGUCAGAGCCGUUCCUUCAGGUCCACCUCCACGGGCUCCUCCUCCUCCGAGGGGGUCCACCUCCAUGGGCUCCUCCUCUGGGGGAGUCCAUGUCCAGGGGUUCCUCUUCCUCUGCGAGGUCCACCUCCAUGGGCGGCUCCUCCUCCUCCUCCAGGCCCACGGCAUCUGAGCAGGGCCAGGGAGGUGACUGCGGCCAGGUCCACCAACGGUGCCAGGCGAGAAGUCACAUCUGGGCUCUACGAAGUAGAGAGCAUCUUCCGGAUCGUUGGAUCUUCACUAGCUGGUGGACUGCUCCAAGCUGCUGCUGGCCGGUUGGCGUAGAGAGCUGCUGGCCAAAUAUUCUUGUGUAAGUUGAAUUUUGCUAUUUUUGUGAGCUACAUAGGCCUGGUAGGCGAUGGAAUGGCCUAAAAAAAAACAUGACUUGGGGGUCUUUGCCCGAGGUAUUACCGUGCGCUCAACAACCCUUGGAAUACGUCAAGCUCUCCGAAGAAGAGCGACGACGCGCCCCGUCCGCUGAUCGCUCUUGCCGAAACCGCCGGCAGUCACACCGAGAUGGAAAGCCGCCGCCUGGAUCCUGUCCAACAGGCGAUAAACGACGGAUUCAGACGAAGGUCGAGGGCGGCAGUUUCUGCCAGUCCG